Molecule: ribosomal RNA, 216 nt
Filed under: Glomeromycotina sp.
Lineage: Eukaryota; Fungi; Glomeromycota
Description: partial small subunit ribosomal RNA
Rfam family: Eukaryotic small subunit ribosomal RNA (bases 40-216)
Source: RNAcentral
GGGUCAGUAGGUUGGUCGUGCCACCGGUACGUACUGGUCUCACUGAUUCCUCCUUCCUGAAGAACCGUAAUGCCAUUAAUUUGGUGUUGCGGGGAAACAGGACUGUUACUUUGAAAAAAUUAGAGUGUUUAAAGCAAUCUAACGCUUGAAUACAUUAGCAUUGAAUAAUGAAAUAGGACGAUCGAUCCUAUUUUGUUGGUUUCUAGGAUUGACGUA